RNAcentral lists this ribosomal RNA (450 nucleotides) under uncultured bacterium. RNAcentral's name for it is "bacterial SSU rRNA". It matches the Rfam family "Bacterial small subunit ribosomal RNA", at positions 392 to 852 of the family's 1533-position model. The record is from RNAcentral.
CGACACCGCGUGGAAGGAUAGAAAUUUUUCGGAAUCGUAAACUCCUUUUGGCAGGAAUGAAACAAAUGACAGUACCUGCAGAAUAAGCAUCGGCUAACUACGUGCCAGCAGCCGCGGUAAUACGUAGGAUGCAAGCGUUGUUCGGAAUUACUGGGCGUAAAGAGUACGUAGGCGGUAAUGAAAGUCUGAUAUUAAAGACUGGGGCUUAACCUCAGGAGUGUAUCGGAAACUUCAUAACUAGAGGACAGUAGAGGAAAUUGGAAUUCCCAGUGUAGCGGUGAAAUGCGUAGAUAUUGGGAGGAACACCAGUGGCGAAAGCGAAUUUCUGGGCUGUUACUGACGCUGAGGUACGAAAGUGUGGGGAGCAAACAGGAUUAGAUACCCUGGUAGUCCACACGGUAAACGAUGGAUACUAGGUGUAACCGGCUUCGACCCCGGUUGUGCCGCAGC